This is a non-coding RNA of Trachymyrmex cornetzi, 73 nucleotides long. NCBI's taxonomy places the organism in Eukaryota, Metazoa, Arthropoda, Insecta, Hymenoptera, Formicidae. The record is from Rfam.
CUCUCGGUGGUCUAAUGGCUUAAGACGCUCGUAUGGAAUACAAGAGAUCCGGAUUCAAGUCCCAACCGAGAUA